AUUGAACGCUGGCGGCAUGCUUUACACAUGCAAGUCGAACGGCAGCGCGGGCUUCGGCCUGGCGGCGGGUGGCGAACGGGUGAGUAAUACAUCGGAACGUGCCCAGCUGUGGGGGAGAGCUCGGCGAAAGCCGGAUUAAUACCGCAUUCGAGCUGAGGGUGAAAGCGGGGGAUCUUCGGAUCUCGCGCUCUUGGACCGGCCGAUGGCAGAUUAGCUAGUUGGUGGGGUAAAGGCCUACCAAGGCGACGAUCUGUAGCUGGUCUGAGAGGACGACCAGCCACACUGGGACUGAGACACGGCCCAGACUCCUACGGGAGGCAGCAGUGGGGAAUUUUGGACAAUGGGCGAAAGCCUGAUCCAGCAAUGCCGCGUGUGUGAUGAAGGCCUUCGGGUUGUAAAGCACUUUUGGCGGGAACGAAAAGGACUGUGCCAAUACCACGGUUCGAUGACGGUACCCGCAGAAUAAGCACCGGCUAACUACGUG
Molecule: ribosomal RNA, 484 nt
Filed under: uncultured bacterium
Lineage: Bacteria
Description: partial 16S ribosomal RNA
Rfam family: Bacterial small subunit ribosomal RNA
Source: RNAcentral